GCCAAAGGUGGUUCAGCAGAUAAGCACAACUGGUUUUUCUCCACAGCUGUGCAUGUUUCCUCAGCAAAACAUAAAGACCUUCUUUCCUUUCCUGUCAGGGAAAGGGAUUCCCAGAGAAAAGAGAAAGCUAGUGAUCUGCAGCUCCCUGGUUGCACAAAGAAGAUAUUCUUUGGGGAAGAUGGACAUGAAAAUUAACCAAGAAUGCAUGCUCUGAACAAUCUCCUUUGUCUACAUGUAUUAAAUUCCCAUCACUUUAAACACUGUCGGACUGGUUUUGCUACACUGUAGGGGCAGGCCAAGCAUGCUGGUGGAGUGUGAAUGUCUGCCUGUAUUUAUCACCAGACAAGAAUAAGCAAAAGUGUUCUGAGCUGUGAAUCAAAAGCCCUUUCUAUCGCAUGGGCCAAGGUCCAAGACUCCUUGUGAAUGAGACUAAAAGGAAGUAACAGUCCAGCUCAGAGCCUUUCACUAAGCAUAACUCUACAGAUCCAGGAAAGAAAACAUGGGCUAGUCCAAGCCAGGGGAGCAUCUUCACUGGAGGAAACGAAUUCCAUGGGCUCCAUCACAAGCACCAGCAAGUCACCAACAGAAAGCUUUAUACUACAGGUUGCCCAGUGCAGAAAAGCAGUAAGGUGUUUGUGCCUGCUGCUCCAAUGGUCAUGUCAAAAGAGUCUAGUGUGUGUGUCUGUCUGUCUGUCUCUGUCCAUCUCUGUCUCUGACUCUGUGUGUGUGUGUGUCUGUCUGUCUCUAAUGUAGGAAGAUACUAACCUACCCAAGAUGCACAGAAAGAACUUUCUCAACCCAUCUUGUAAGACUGUGUAAACCCAGCGAAACAAACGCCGGCACUGCUGAGUCUUAAAAGAAAACAAAUCUUCAUCCGGUUUUAUAAGGUUUCUUCAUUUGAAAGGAGAAAGGGUAGAGACAUCAGAUGACACAGCUUCCGUAUGUAUAGAUGCUACAAAACUAGCCAAGUGGUGGGUUGGGGGACUGGAAAUAGAUUUCUAUGUCAAUUAAAACAUAGGAAGACAUUGUCAUACAUCUAUUAGAAUGUCUGUUACUACUAUGAAAACCAAGUGCUGGCAAAGGCCUGGAGAAAAGAGAAACUUCAGAUGCUGUUGGUGAACACAAAAAUGAAUACAGCCACUGUGGAAAACUGUAUGCAGAGUCCUCAGAGGACUGAGAGGAGAAUGUGAUCCAGCAACCCCACUUGUAGAUACUGUCCAAGGAAUGAAUCAGAAUCUCCCAUGUUCCCUGAAGCGCCAUCCACUACAGCCAAGGAGUGGAGGCAGCCUGCAAGACUGCCAUCCUGUGCUACCACACUCCAAGACAGAAUACUAUUCCAUCUACACGAGAAGAAAUGCUGUCACACGGGACAACAUGAAUGAAACAGGGGAACUUGUGCUAAGCCAGAUAAACAGAAAGACAAAGACAGAUACUGUUCGAUCCCAUAUGUAGACUCUAAAUUAUUUGGACUCUUUGAAAAGGAUAAACUGUUUGCUGCUAGAGUCUAGUGAGAAGAGAAGGACUACUUGCGGGGCCAUGUUGACAAAAAAAAAAAAAGAAUUUGAAGUUUCAGUUAGAUGGGACAAAGAAGAUUCAAUAAUCUCAUGGUGGGGAGGGGGAACGGCUCAAUGGAUAAGGUACGUGCUGUACAAGUUCUGGGUGAGG
Long non-coding RNA from Peromyscus leucopus (white-footed mouse), 1665 nucleotides. RefSeq lists it as uncharacterized. The transcript has 3 exons. Lineage: Eukaryota; Metazoa; Chordata; Mammalia; Rodentia; Cricetidae. The record is from RefSeq and is a predicted model, not a curated record.